Molecule: ribosomal RNA, 425 nt
Filed under: uncultured bacterium
Lineage: Bacteria
Description: bacterial SSU rRNA
Rfam family: Bacterial small subunit ribosomal RNA
Source: RNAcentral
GUGGGGAAUCUUAGACAAUGGGGGAAACCCUGAUCUAGCCAUGCCGCGUGAGCGAUGAAGGCCUUAGGGUUGUAAAGCUCUUUCAGAGGGGAAGAUAAUGACGGUACCCUCAGAAGAAGCCCCGGCUAACUCCGUGCCAGCAGCCGCGGUAAUACGGAGGGGGCUAGCGUUGUUCGGAAUUACUGGGCGUAAAGCGCACGUAGGCGGACCAGAAAGUCAGGGGUGAAAUCCCGGGGCUCAACCCCGGAACUGCCUUUGAAACUCCUGGUCUUGAGGUCGAGAGAGGUGAGUGGAAUUCCGAGUGUAGAGGUGAAAUUCGUAGAUAUUCGGAGGAACACCAGUGGCGAAGGCGGCUCACUGGCUCGAUACUGACGCUGAGGUGCGAAAGCGUGGGGAGCAAACAGGAUUAGAUACCCCAGUAGUCC